This 467-nucleotide ribosomal RNA is filed under the name uncultured bacterium. RNAcentral's name for it is "partial 16S ribosomal RNA". It matches the Rfam family "Bacterial small subunit ribosomal RNA", at positions 29 to 507 of the family's 1533-position model. The record is from RNAcentral.
ACGAACGCUGGCGGCGUGCUUAACACAUGCAAGUCGGACGGAAAGGCCCUGCUUUUGUGGGGUGCUCGAGUGGCGAACGGGUGAGUAACACGUGAGUAACCUGCCCUUGACUUUGGGAUAACUUCAGGAAACUGGGGCUAAUACCGGAUAGGAGCUCCUGCUGCAUGGUGGGGGUUGGAAAGUUUCGGCGGUUGGGGAUGGACUCGCGGCUUAUCAGCUUGUUGGUGGGGUAGUGGCUUACCAAGGCUUUGACGGGUAGCCGGCCUGGGAGGGUGACCGGCCACAUUGGGACUGAGAUACGGCCCAGACUCCUACGGGAGGCAGCAGUGGGGAAUAUUGCACAAUGGGCGGAAGCCUGAUGCAGCAACGCCGCGUGCGGGAUGACGGCCUUCGGGUUGUAAACCGCUUUCGCCUGUGACGAAGCGUGAGUGACGGUAAUGGGUAAAGAAGCACCGGCUAACUACGUG